AUGAGAAGAUUUGUAGAUGCACAACAGAGUUUGCAGACUGCCAUGUUAAACAAUGUCAACAGUUCUGGUUCUCUAGAUUGGUCUUGGUACAUGAUACAUCUUAAGCUUGGUCUUGGUACAGGAUACAUCUUAAGCUGGAGUUCGUCGCUAAGCAGAUGGAGAUGUGUGUAUGUAUACAUGUGUUCUGGAGAUAGGAGAACUAUCUGGUGGUGUGUGCGUGCUGCUGCAUCCUCUUCCGGCUGCUCUAAUUCACACCUUCAGUACAACUUCUUUCAGCGAGGUGGAGAUUGGGGCACGGUGGAGUGUGACCGUGUGUGUGCAGACGGCCCACCGCAACGUCACCGGCCGGAUCCCGCUCUUCAGUGUACAGCAAGAAGUUCAUGUAUUGAUGCCCCUGGAGUCCAUGUAGCUCUGCUGCCGUGCUACCCUUGUCGGCCUCGGCUAUGUCGAAGGAGCUCCCUUCUGUUCAGUGGAUUCAACAAAAAAAGUCCCUGCUGCCACUGCAUCCUGAGUUCAAGGGAUUCCUUAGGGGCCUUCUACACCAUCUUGCUAAUGAUGCCAUCGCUGGAUGCCACAGCCAUGCUCGUCGUUCUUGUACUGCCAUUCACAUACUGCUCCCUGUUUUACUUCAUUGAGAUCCAUAGAAAUAAGUUAUAUUCAGUUCGCCGCUUUUACAAUUGA
RNAcentral lists this ribosomal RNA (681 nucleotides) under Triticum aestivum (bread wheat). Its description in RNAcentral is "partial small subunit ribosomal RNA". The record is from RNAcentral. Lineage: Eukaryota; Viridiplantae; Streptophyta; Magnoliopsida; Poales; Poaceae.